CCUACGGGUGGCAGCAGUGGGGAAUCUUGCACAAUGGGGGAAACCCUGAUGCAGCGACGCCGCGUGAGCGAUGAAGCCCUUCGGGGUGUAAAGCUCUUUCGGCAGGAACGCGGUACCUGCAGAAGAAGCUGCGGCUAACUACGUGCCAGCAGCCGCGGUAAUACGUAGGCAGCAAGCGUUGUUCGGAAUUACUGGGCGUAAAGAGUGUGUAGGCGGUUCUCUAAGUUCCGUGUGAAAUCUCCCGGCUUAACUGGGAGGGUGCGCGGAAAACUGGAGGGCUGGAGUAUGGGAGAGGAAAGCGGAAUUCCUGGUGUAGCGGUGAAAUGCGUAGAUAUCAGGAGGAACACCUGCGGUGUAGACAGCUUUCUGGACCAUACUGACGCUGAGACACGAAAGCGUGGGUAGCAAACAGGAUUAGAUACCCUUGUAGUC
RNAcentral lists this ribosomal RNA (432 nucleotides) under uncultured bacterium. Its description in RNAcentral is "partial 16S ribosomal RNA". It matches the Rfam family "Bacterial small subunit ribosomal RNA", at positions 338 to 795 of the family's 1533-position model. The record is from RNAcentral.